AGCAGCCGCGGUAAUUCCAGCUCCAAUAGCGUAUAUUAAAGUUGUUGCAGUUAAAAAGCUCGUAGUUGAAUUUCGAGAUCGGUUUAUUGGUCGUGCUAUUGUACGUACUGGUAUUACCGGUUUCUCCUUUCUUACGAACCUUAAUGCCAUUAAUUUGGUGUUUUGGGAAAUCAGGACUGUUACUUUGAAAAAAUUAGAGUGUUUAAAGCAGGCUCACGCUUGAAUACAUUAGCAUGGAAUAACGGAAUAGGACGUUUGAUUCUAUUUUGUUGGUUUCUAGGAUCGACGUAAUGAUUAAUAGGGAUAGUUGGGGGCAUUAGUAUUCAAUUGUCAGAGGUGAAAUUCUUGGAUUUAUUGAAGACUAACUACUGCGAAAGCAUUUGCCAAGGAUGUUUUCAUUAAUCAAGAACGAAAGUUAGGGGAUCGAAGACGAUCAGAUGCCGUCGUAGUCUUAACCAUAAACUAUGCCGACUAGGGAUCGGAUGAUGUUAAUUUUUAAUGACUCAUUCGGCGCCUUACG
RNAcentral lists this ribosomal RNA (520 nucleotides) under uncultured Glomus. RNAcentral's name for it is "SSU rRNA". It matches the Rfam family "Eukaryotic small subunit ribosomal RNA", at positions 569 to 1092 of the family's 1831-position model. The record is from RNAcentral. Lineage: Eukaryota; Fungi; Glomeromycota; Glomeromycetes; Glomerales; Glomeraceae.